RNAcentral lists this ribosomal RNA (382 nucleotides) under uncultured eukaryote. RNAcentral's name for it is "partial 18S ribosomal RNA". It matches the Rfam family "Eukaryotic small subunit ribosomal RNA", at positions 592 to 976 of the family's 1831-position model. The record is from RNAcentral.
UGUAAGCGUAUACCAAAGUUGUUGCAGUUAAAACGCUCGUAGUCGGAAUUUGGCAGUUCCGGAUGUGUGCACGUCGUGUGCGCACUUCGCGGGGAUUGCUUUUGUGGUCUUGCGUAGGAUGAGGCACUUUUAUUAGUGAACGUCCUCACGCAACCACUUUUUACUGUGAGAAAAUCAGAGUGCUCAAAGCAGGCACUUGCCGUGAAUGUAUUAGCAUGGAAUAAUAGAAUAGGACUUGGUUCUAUUUUGAUGGUUUGUUGGGACUGAGUAAUGAUUAAGAGGGACAGUUGGGGGCAUUUGUAUUUCGGUGCUAGAGGUGAAAUUCUUAGAUUACCGAAAGACAAACUGCUGCGAAAGCGUCUGCCAAGGAUGUUUUCAUUGA